UCUUCACCGCAGGGGCACCACCCUGCUGUUCUACAAGGAACCAACCUAUCCUUUAGAAUAGGGAGAAGCCAGCUCGCGUGGCUAAUAUCCUCUGGCCUGUAAGGUGGCAGCAAAAACGAGCCACAGAGAACGCGGAGCCCACCUGGGUGUGUGGGUGCUCCACCCAGAGCCUUUGUCCGCUCUGCUGGUCACGCAGCAAAGUAAUUCCCUGUUGUUCCCAGGAGAUCACAUCCCUUGUAAAGGGGGCCUGCUUGUCAUCUGCUGCAGCAGUGGAACUUUCAGAAGCCCUUUGUAUGUGUAAAAAAAAAAAAAAAAAAAAAUGCUAUUCUGGCCUGAUCUGCAAGAGGCCCUUUCCCACUUCUCCUUCAGCUGUCCUCGGUCAAUCUCUUUCCUAGGGGUCAUGGCUUGAGAUUCGCCUGACAAAUCACUCCUCUGUGACGUCCUGGAGAAGAGCAAGGUGCGCGCAUGUUUGGCCGCCCCCCCGCCCCCCCCCGCCCCGCGACUGAUGCCCGAACAAUGGGUGUCCACCUACCGGAAGGUAACAUUUUCUGUUUUUGCUGGAGGACCCUAAAGCCAGAUGGAGAAGGUGACAGAUCUCGAGGUGCCAGCCUGCCACUCGGUACAACCUAUAAUUCUGUCCCUUGAGCUUGGCGCACUGAGCUGGGGGUGUCGGGGCGCUCCCGCUCACGCAGACUGUAGACACACGGAUAACUAGGAUAACCACCCUUCCUAGGAGGACUCAGCCCCCUCUCUACCUGGCGCUGGGGUCCCGUACUUUGAAAACACCCAACUUCGCGGCGAAAAGGAACGCGCGGCUUACCAUUUCCGCUAGAUGGCGCGAUUUCCCCUACUCCGCCCUCGAGACACCCGAAUUGUAAAAUAAAUACAACCCAACGCCUUCCGAAACCACAUACAUAAUAGCAACUCGCAGGCUCCCAUUAAAAAUCUCAAUUUGGGGGAAUUGAUUCUGCCCCGGAGCAAAUCUAAUGCAAUUACAUUAACAGGAUGCAAUCAAGAAUUGCAACUGAGCGCCCCUCCCCGCCCCCCGCUCCGACACACGUCGGUCCUCCCCCUAAAUACACCUGUCCCCCUGUUUCAGCUAGUUCUCCGGCGUGAGCCACGGCUCGAGCCGGGCGCGGAAUCGUCUCUGUGCCCCGCCCGUCGGGCCCACCCCUCCACUUAGGAACGCCGGGGCCACUCGGAAGUCCGAUCCCUUAGCACUGAACCCAAGUCCCGCACCUUCCUGCAUACAGAUGCUCCCAGUUCAAAGGACCGCUGGGACCCGAGCCCAGAAGGUGCAGCACCGACGCCCCCCCUCCCCCCCGGGGGCCGGCGCUUGUCCCGCGGCUCUGCAGCUGGCCUAGGCAGCCGGGCGCGGAGCUGGAGGAGGGGGACCCGGGGUGGCGCCUGCUGGCCGAGAGCACACCCUCAGAAGGUGGAUUCCUGGGGAAAGUGACGAAGGAUUUCUUCCCAGCUGACCAAACAACGUGGAGUGCAUUGGCGGGACCCUUCACUCGGGGCUGGCAUCGGGGGCUGUCUCUUUGGAUUGGGGGCCACGCCGCUUCCUUGCUCUCAGAGUGCACAGGAGAGAAAAUGAUCAGGACGGAGCUGGUUUGAGUGAUAAAAAGAGCCGCGGGCUGAACAAAUGGAGGGUCUAGCCCUCAAAAUCAAAAAAGACGGAGUUAACCGCUUGGAGAGGUGGCAUUGUUGGUUGUAAGGGGAACGGGACUGGAAGGCCUCAGCGACCUUGUGGGCAACGGCCCCUGGAGGAUGAAAAGGCAGAGGAUGUCCCCGAUCGGCAGUGGCCCGGGGCAAGUUUGGGACCUGAGUGACCAUCUGGACUUUCGUUCAUUUCUCAGAGCCUUUGGUAUGUUGCUUGAGGUCCGUCCCAUGCGUACACGGUUAGAGACGGCA
Long non-coding RNA from Herpailurus yagouaroundi (jaguarundi), 1914 nucleotides. RefSeq lists it as uncharacterized. The record is from RefSeq and is a predicted model, not a curated record. Lineage: Eukaryota; Metazoa; Chordata; Mammalia; Carnivora; Felidae. The transcript has 5 exons.